Molecule: ribosomal RNA, 742 nt
Filed under: Beltrania querna
Lineage: Eukaryota; Fungi; Ascomycota; Sordariomycetes; Amphisphaeriales; Beltraniaceae
Description: LSU rRNA
Rfam family: Eukaryotic large subunit ribosomal RNA
Source: RNAcentral
CCCUAGUAACGGCGAGUGAAGCGGGAACAGCUCAAAUUUGAAAUCUGGGCCUUCGGGUCCGAAUUGUAAUUUGCAGAGGAUGCUUUUGGUUAGGUACUUUCCGAGUUCCCUGGAACGGGACGCCUUAGAGGGUGAGAGCCCCGUACGGUUGGAUACCAAGCCUUUGUAAAGCUCCUUCGACGAGUCGAGUAGUUUGGGAAUGCUGCUCUAAAUGGGAGGUAAAUUUCUUCUAAAGCUAAAUAUUGGCCAGAGACCGAUAGCGCACAAGUAGAGUGAUCGAAAGAUGAAAAGCACUUUGAAAAGAGGGUUAAAUAGCACGUGAAAUUGUUGAAAGGGAAGCGUUUAUGACCAGACUUUUUCCAGGCGAAUCAUCCGGUGUUCUCGCCGGUGCACUUCGUCUGGUUGAGGCCAGCAUCGGUUUUCGUGGGGGGAUAAAAGCGGUGGGAAUGUGACUCCUCCGGGAGUGUUAUAGCCCGCCGUAUAAUACCUCCAUGGGGACCGAGGUUCGCGCAUCUGCAAGGAUGCUGGCGUAAUGGUCAUCAACGACCCGUCUUGAAACACGGACCAAGGAGUCGAACAUUUGUGCAAGUGUUUGGGUGUUAAACCCUCACGCGUAAUGAAAGUGAACGGAGGUGAGAGCCCUUACGGGUGCAUCAUCGACCGAUCCUGAUGUUUUCGGAUGGAUUUGAGUAAGAGCAUAACUGUUCGGACCCGAAAGAUGGUGAACUAUGCGUGGAUAGGG